Molecule: ribosomal RNA, 1333 nt
Filed under: uncultured bacterium
Lineage: Bacteria
Description: partial 16S ribosomal RNA
Rfam family: Bacterial small subunit ribosomal RNA
Source: RNAcentral
GGAUUACGUGGGUAGUAUGCCUAAUACAUGCAAGUCGAGCGGAAAAUGGUAGCAAUACUAUUUUUAGCGGCGAACGGGUGAGUAAUGCUUAUCUUACCUACCAUUUAGUGGGGGAUAACUACGGGAAACUGUGGCUAAUACCGCAUAUUAUGAGCAAUCAUGAAAGUUCCUUUAUUGGUUCGCUAAUUGAUGGGGAUAAGUCGUAUUAGCUAGUUGGUGAGGUAAUGGCUUACCAAGGCAAUGAUGCGUAGCCAUUCUGAGAGGAUAAAUGGCCACAAGGGAACUGAGACACGGUCCCUACUCCUACGGGAGGCAGCAGUAAGGAAUUUUCCACAAUGGGCGCAAGCCUGAUGGAGCAAUACUACGUGAAGGAAGAAGGUCUACGGAUUGUAAACUUCUGUUAGAGUAGAAGAAAAACCUAGGUGAAAGCCUAGACUUGACAGUAUACUCAGAGAAAGUCACGACUAACUAUGUGCCAUCAGUCGCGGUAAGACAUAGGUGGCGAACGUUAUCCGGAAUUAUUGGGCGUAAAGGGUGCGUAGAUGGUUUUAAAAGUUACUAGUAGAAAACUAAGGCCCAACCUUAGGAAAGCUAGUAAUACUAUAAGGCUAGAGUGCAGGAGAAGUUAACGGAAUUCCUUGUGGAGCGGUGAAAUGCUUAGAUAUAAGGAAGAACAUCAAAUGGCGAAGGCAGUUAACUAUUCUGUUUCUGACAUUGAGGCACGAAAGCGUGGGGAGCAAAACGGAUUAGAUACCCGUGUAGUCCACGCCCUAAACGAUGAGUAUUAGAUGUUGGAAUUUGUAUUUCAGUGUCGUAGCUAACGCGUUAAAUACUCCGCCUGGGUAGUACGCUCGCAAGAGUGAAACUCAAAGGAAUUGACGGGGACCCGCACAAGCGGUGGAACAUGUGGUUUAAUUCGAUGCAACGCGCAGAACCUUACCAAGGCUUGACAUGGAGGGCAAAGUUGGAGAAAUUCAACAGAGGUUAUCCCGACACAGGUGGUGCAUGGCCGUCGUCAGUUCGUGCCGUGAGGUGUAUGGUUAAGUCCUAUAACGAACGCAACCCUUGUGCUUAGUUGCUAACAUUAAGUUGAGAACCCUAAGCAGACUGCCAAGGCAACUUGGAGGAAGGAGAGGACGACGUCUGGUCGUCAUGCCCCUUAUGCCUUGGGCUACACACGUGUUACAAUGGUUAGGACAAAGAGCUGCUAACCCGCGAGGGCAAGCUAAUCUCAAAAAACUAACCUCAGUUCGGAUUGAAGUUUGCAACUCAACUUCAUGAAGUUGGAUCGCUAGUAAUCGCAGAUCAGCAACGCUGUGGUGAUACGUUCUCG